Molecule: long non-coding RNA, 515 nt
Filed under: Nicotiana benthamiana
Lineage: Eukaryota; Viridiplantae; Streptophyta; Magnoliopsida; Solanales; Solanaceae
Description: long non-coding RNA (NBEN_LNC013041)
Source: RNAcentral
GCCCCUAUAGUUGACAGGUGGACUGUUAUAGAUGCUCCAGAACCACGUCAGUUGAUUUGGACUAAUCUUUCGAUAACGUUUUAUGUGAGAAUAAUCCGGCAGUAUGUUGUGUACGUCGUUGUGUUUUUGACCAUAUUCUUUUACAUGAUCCCGAUUGGGUUCAUCUCGGCAUUAUAACGUUUUAUGUGAGAAUAAUUCGGCAGUAUGUUGUGUACAUUGUUGUGUUUUUGACCAUAUUCUUUUACAUGAUUCCAAUUGGGUUCAUCUCGGCAUUAACAACUCUAGACAAUCUGGUGAAGCUUCUCCCGUUUUUGAAACCGGUUGUGAGUCAGAAGGCAAUCAAGACUGUGCUUGAAGCUUAUUUGCCUCAGCUUGCGCUCAUCAUAUUUUUGGCUUUGUUGCCAAAGUUUCUUAUGUUUCUAUCUUCUCCCGUUUUUGAAACCGGUUGUGAGUCAGAAGGCAAUCAAGACUGUGCUAGAAGCAUAUUUGCCUCAGCUUGCGCUCAUCAUAUUUUU